RNAcentral lists this ribosomal RNA (433 nucleotides) under uncultured organism. Its description in RNAcentral is "bacterial SSU rRNA". It matches the Rfam family "Bacterial small subunit ribosomal RNA", at positions 29 to 507 of the family's 1533-position model. The record is from RNAcentral.
AACGAACGCUGGCGGCACGCCUAACACAUGCAAGUCGAGCGCGACCUUCGGGUUGAGCGGCGGACGGGUUAGUAACGCGUGGGAACAUGCCCUUCUCUAAGGAAUAGCCUCUGGAAACGGAGAGUAAUACCUUAUACGCCCUUCGGGGGAAAGAUUUAUCGGUGAAGGAUUGGCCCGCGUUAGAUUAGAUAGUUGGUGGGGUAACGGCCUACCAAGUCGACGAUCUAUAGCUGGUUUGAGAGGAUGAUCAGCAACACUGGGACUGAGACACGGCCCAGACUCCUACGGGAGGCAGCAGUGGGGAAUCUUAGACAAUGGGCGCAAGCCUGAUCUAGCGAUGCCGCGUGAGUGAUGAAGGCCUUAGGGUCGUAAAGCUCUUUCGCCAGGGAUGAUAAUGACAGUACCUGGUAAAGAAACCCCGGCUAACUCCGUG